CUGAUGUUAGCGGCGGACGGGUGAKUAWCACGUGGAUAACCUACCUAUAAGACUGGGAUAACUUCGGGAAACCGGAGCUAAUACCGGAUAAUAUUUUGAACCGCAUGGUUCAAAAGUGAAAGACGGUCUUGCUGUCACUUAUAGAUGGAUCCGCGCUGCAUUAGCUAGUUGGUAAGGUAACGGCUUACCAAGGCAACGAUGCAUAGCCGACCUGAGAGGGUGAUCGGCCACACUGGAACUGAGACACGGUCCAGACUCCUACGGGAGGCAGCAGUAGGGAAUCUUCCGCAAUGGGCGAAAGCCUGACGGAGCAACGCCGCGUGAGUGAUGAAGGUCUUCGGAUCGUAAAACUCUGUUAUUAGGGAAGAACAUAUGUGUAAGUAACUGUGCACAUCUUGACGGUACCUAAUCAGAAAGCCACGGCUAACUACGUGCCAGCAGCCGCGGUAAUACGUAGGUGGCAAGCGUUAUCCGGAAUUAUUGGGCGUAAAGCGCGCGUAGGCGGUUUUUAAGUCUGAUGUGAAAGCCCACGGCUCAACCGUGAGGUCAUUGGAAACUGGAAAACUUGAGUGCAGAGAGGAAAGKGGAUUCCAUGUGUAG
This 600-nucleotide ribosomal RNA is filed under the name Staphylococcus aureus. RNAcentral's name for it is "bacterial SSU rRNA". It matches the Rfam family "Bacterial small subunit ribosomal RNA", at positions 86 to 678 of the family's 1533-position model. Lineage: Bacteria; Bacillati; Bacillota; Bacilli; Caryophanales; Staphylococcaceae. The record is from RNAcentral.